Molecule: ribosomal RNA, 465 nt
Filed under: Vreelandella stevensii
Lineage: Bacteria; Pseudomonadati; Pseudomonadota; Gammaproteobacteria; Oceanospirillales; Halomonadaceae
Description: partial 16S ribosomal RNA
Rfam family: Bacterial small subunit ribosomal RNA
Source: RNAcentral
CCUACGGGGGGCAGCAGUGGGGAAUAUUGGACAAUGGGGGGAACCCUGAUCCAGCCAUGCCGCGUGUGUGAAGAAGGCCCUCGGGUUGUAAAGCACUUUCAGUGAGGAAGAACGCCUGGUGGUUAAUACCCAUCAGGAAAGACAUCACUCACAGAAGAAGCACCGGCUAACUCCGUGCCAGCAGCCGCGGUAAUACGGAGGGUGCGAGCGUUAAUCGGAAUUACUGGGCGUAAAGCGCGCGUAGGUGGCUUGAUAAGCCGGUUGUGAAAGCCCCGGGCUCAACCUGGGAACGGCAUCCGGAACUGUCAAGCUAGAGUGCAGGAGAGGAAAGUAGAAUUCCCGGUGUAGCGGUGAAAUGCGUAGAGAUCGGGAGGAAUACCAGUGGCGAAGGCGGCCUUCUGGACUGACACUGACACUGAGGUGCGAAAGCGUGGGUAGCAAACAGGAUUAGAUACCCUGGUAGUC